This 524-nucleotide ribosomal RNA is filed under the name uncultured bacterium. RNAcentral describes it as "bacterial SSU rRNA". It matches the Rfam family "Bacterial small subunit ribosomal RNA", at positions 21 to 518 of the family's 1533-position model. The record is from RNAcentral.
GGCUCAGGACGAACGCUGGCGGCGUGCCUAAUACAUGCAAGUCGAACGGUCUUUCUAUGGAAGCUUGCUUCCACUGAGAAGAUAGUGGCGAACGGGUGAGUAACACGUGGGUAACCUGCCCAUAAGAGGGGGAUAACAUCCGGAAACGGGUGCUAAUACCGCAUAGUUUUCUUGAUCGCAUGAUCGGGAAAGGAAAGACGGCCUUUGUGCUGUCGCUUAUGGAUGGACCCGCGGCGUAUUAGUUAGUUGGUGAGGUAACGGCUCACCAAGACGAUGAUACGUAGCCGACCUGAGAGGGUGAUCGGCCACAUUGGGACUGAGACACGGCCCAAACUCCUACGGGAGGCAGCAGUAGGGAAUCUUCCGCAAUGGACGAAAGUCUGACGGAGCAACGCCGCGUGAGUGAAAGAAGGUUUUCGGAUCGUAAAACUCUGUUGUCAGAGAAGAACAAGUUGGAGAGUAACUGCUCCAGCCUUGACGGUAUCUGACCAGAAAGCCACGGCUAACUACGUGCCAGCCGCCGC